GGAAUUUUCCGCAAUGGGCGAAAGCCUGACGGAGCAACGCCGCGUGAGGGAUGAAGGCCUCUGGGCUGUAAACCUCUUUUAUCAAGGAAGAAGAUCUGACGGUACUUGAUGAAUAAGCCACGGCUAAUUCCGUGCCAGCAGCCGCGGUAAUACGGGAGUGGCAAGCGUUAUCCGGAAUUAUUGGGCGUAAAGCGUCCGCAGGCGGCCCUUCAAGUCUGCUGUUAAAAAGUGGAGCUUAACUCCAUCAUGGCAGUGGAAACUGUUGGGCCUGAGUGUGGUAGGGGCAGAGGGAAUUCCCGGUGUAGCGGUGAAAUGCGUAGAUAUCGGGAAGAACACCAGUGGCGAAGGCGCUCUGCUGGGCCAUCACUGACGCUCAUGGACGAAAGCCAGGGGAGCGAAAGGGAUUAGAUACCCCAGUAGUC
This 422-nucleotide ribosomal RNA is filed under the name uncultured cyanobacterium. RNAcentral describes it as "bacterial SSU rRNA". It matches the Rfam family "Bacterial small subunit ribosomal RNA", at positions 358 to 795 of the family's 1533-position model. Lineage: Bacteria; Bacillati; Cyanobacteriota. The record is from RNAcentral.